RNAcentral lists this ribosomal RNA (506 nucleotides) under uncultured bacterium. RNAcentral describes it as "partial 16S ribosomal RNA". It matches the Rfam family "Bacterial small subunit ribosomal RNA", at positions 29 to 523 of the family's 1533-position model. The record is from RNAcentral.
AGUGAACGCUGGCGGUAGGCCUAACACAUGCAAGUCGAACGGCAGCACAGGAGAGCUUGCUCUCUGGGUGGCGAGUGGCGGACGGGUGAGGAAUACAUCGGAAUCUACUCUGUCGUGGGGGAUAACGUAGGGAAACUUACGCUAAUACCGCAUACGACCUACGGGUGAAAGCAGGGGAUCUUCGGACCUUGCGCGAUUGAAUGAGCCGAUUUCGGAUUAGCUAGUUGGUGGGGUAAAGGCCCACCAAGGCGACGAUCCGUAGCUGGUCUGAGAGGAUGAUCAGCCACACUGGAACUGAGACACGGUCCAGACUCCUACGGGAGGCAGCAGUGGGGAAUAUUGGACAAUGGGCGCAAGCCUGAUCCAGCCAUACCGCGUGGGUGAAGAAGGCCUUCGGGUUGUAAAGCCCUUUUGUUGGGAAAGAAAUCCAGCUGGCUAAUACCCGGUUGGGAUGACGGUACCCAAAGAAUAAGCACCGGCUAACUUCGUGCCAGCCGCCGCCGUAA